This 530-nucleotide ribosomal RNA is filed under the name uncultured bacterium. RNAcentral describes it as "bacterial SSU rRNA". It matches the Rfam family "Bacterial small subunit ribosomal RNA", at positions 777 to 1308 of the family's 1533-position model. The record is from RNAcentral.
AAUAGAUACCCUGGUAGUCCACGCCGUAAACGAUGUCGACUUGGAGGUUGUUCCCUUGAGGAGUGGCUUCCGGAGCUAACGCGUUAAGUCGACCGCCUGGGGAGUACGGCCGCAAGGUUAAAACUCAAAUGAAUUGACGGGGGCCCGCACAAGCGGUGGAGCAUGUGGUUUAAUUCGAUGCAACGCGAAGAACCUUACCUACUCUUGACAUCCAGAGAACUUAGCAGAGAUGCUUUGGUGCCUUCGGGAACUCUGAGACAGGUGCUGCAUGGCUGUCGUCAGCUCGUGUUGUGAAAUGUUGGGUUAAGUCCCGCAACGAGCGCAACCCUUAUCCUUUGUUGCCAGCGGUUCGGCCGGGAACUCAAAGGAGACUGCCAGUGAUAAACUGGAGGAAGUGGGGAUGACGUCAAGUCAUCAUGGCCCUUACGAGUAGGGCUACACACGUGCUACAAUGGCGUAAUCAAAGNGAAGCGACCUCACGAGAGCAAGCGGACCUCAUAAAGUACGUCGUAGUCCGGAUUGGAGUCUGC